AUUAGCAUCAUUUGACACCCUC
RNAcentral lists this microRNA (22 nucleotides) under Cordylochernes scorpioides. The record is from RNAcentral. Lineage: Eukaryota; Metazoa; Arthropoda; Arachnida; Pseudoscorpiones; Chernetidae.